This 294-nucleotide ribosomal RNA is filed under the name Triticum aestivum (bread wheat). Its description in RNAcentral is "partial small subunit ribosomal RNA". Lineage: Eukaryota; Viridiplantae; Streptophyta; Magnoliopsida; Poales; Poaceae. The record is from RNAcentral.
AUGCUUCAAUGGGCAGUCCAGAAGAGAUUGCUUUCUGACUUGGGGCUGGACAGUGGCAUCCCAAGGGCAUCCAUUUUUGCUGACGAUGCAGUCAUCUUCUUCAAGCCACAAAUCACGGAUCUGCGGGUGAUUUCGGAAAUUCUUCAACUUUUUGGCAAAGCCUCAGGGUUGCAUAUCAACCUACAGAAGAGCUCGACUACCUGCAUUCGAUGUGAGGAGGAAGUGAGCUCCAUGGUGGCAGAGUUCUUCCAGUGUCAACGAAAAAUUUUCCCAAUCACAUACCUCGGGCUGCCG